RNAcentral lists this non-coding RNA (562 nucleotides) under Pan troglodytes (chimpanzee). RNAcentral also lists the same sequence under 1 other name. Lineage: Eukaryota; Metazoa; Chordata; Mammalia; Primates; Hominidae. The record is from RNAcentral.
UGGCCGGCGGCCGUCGCCUGGUGUGCGCGUCUGGAUCCGCUGGUGGCCCGGCUUUUCGACCCCUUCUCCAAGGGCCUCGCCCUCAGUCUCUGGUCCCAGCCCACCCCAUGGCCCCUCCCAGUCCCAGCACCACCAGCAGUAAUAACAACAGUAGCAGCAGUAGCAACUCAGGAUGGGAUCAGCUCAGCAAAACGAACCUCUAUAUCCGAGGACUGCCUCCCCACACCACCGACCAGGACCUGGUGAAGCUCUGUCAACCGUAAGUAGUAGUUGUUCCUAUUAUUUUAGCUGCUAAGUAUUUUCUUGAUCAUAUUAUAGAGUGAUAUAUACUGCAUUAUAAGAGAAGUUUAUAAGAAGUAUCUGUGGACUCUCAGUGUCACAACAAUAAAAUGGGUUUCAAGUUUUAACUUCUUAAAUACUUUUUGAGUCAAUAUUAACAUCAUCAGACUGGCUACAUAUCAAAAUGAAUUGGAGCAUUUUCUCAAUAGAAUUUGACUUUAUGGGCAUAUGAGAAGUAAAAUAUGAAUUUUUUUAAAAAAAACUUAUGGCUAGAUAUUUUUCA